GGUGAACUUGGAGAAAUCCCUUGGAAGAGAGAUUAGGUCAAUGGAAGAUUGUUUGUGGAAUUGGAAGAGGUCAGGGUCCCCCCCAUAGUACCUUUCCCACCCUAAUUCUCUCAGUAUCUGCUCCAGAGAAGAGUAAGAAGAUAUGACUUGGUCUGUUGGCAAGUGCACCAAAACCUUUCUCUUGGAAGUAUUUUGGGUAGUUAUUACGCCAUUAGGAUUGAAAACCCAAACUCCUGACAUUCUUU
Molecule: unclassified non-coding RNA, 245 nt
Filed under: Hevea brasiliensis (rubber tree)
Lineage: Eukaryota; Viridiplantae; Streptophyta; Magnoliopsida; Malpighiales; Euphorbiaceae
Source: RNAcentral